ACGAACGCUGGCGGCGUGCCUAAUCCCUGCAAGUAGCACGCUGAAAGAGGAGCUUGCUUCUCUGGAUGAGUUGCGAACGGGUGAGUAACGCGUAGGUAACCUGCCUGGUAGCGGGGGAUAACUAUUGGAAACGAUAGCUAAUACCGCAUAAUAUUGACUAUUGCAUGAUAGUCAGUUGAAAGGUGCAACUGCACCACUACCAGAUGGACCUGCGUUGUAUUAGCUAGUUGGUGGGGUAACGGCCCACCAAGGCGACGAUACAUAGCCGACCUGAGAGGGUGAUCGGCCACACUGGGACUGAGACACGGCCCAGACGCCUACGGGAGGCAGCAGUAGGGAAUCUUCGGCAAUGGACGGAAGUCUGACCGAGCAACGCCGCGUGAGUGAAGAAGGGUUUCGGAUCGUAAAGCUCGGUUGUAAGAGAAGAACGAGUGUGAGAGUGGAAAGCUCACACUGUGACGGUAUCUGACCAGAAAGAGACGGCUAACUACGUG
This 494-nucleotide ribosomal RNA is filed under the name uncultured bacterium. RNAcentral describes it as "partial 16S ribosomal RNA". It matches the Rfam family "Bacterial small subunit ribosomal RNA", at positions 29 to 507 of the family's 1533-position model. The record is from RNAcentral.